AGAUGUCGUCUGGAGAUAGAGAGGAGGACCAAGAUGCGGCGUGUCUAUUUAGAAUGAUCUUUCAGCAAGACAACAGAGAUGAGGCUUCAUGAGCUUGAUUGACACAAGGGUGUGUUCAAAGAAGGAGGCGAUCGGAUCCUCUUUAUAAACACUUCAGCUACAGCACUUCUCCACUUGUCUGCUCAUCAAAGCCAAACAAGCCUUGGAGAGGGAGAGGAGACAAAAAAGUACAUGGCAAUGUGGCUCCCAACAGCGGUGGUUGUGUUUCUGGGUGCAGCACCUGACCUCUUCUUCAGCCAGCAGUCCUUGGAUGAGUCCUUCAGUGACACCAGAGCAGUUGAACCAUCUCACUGCUCACAGGGAUUCGUGGAUGACAAAGCCUUUCCUUGGAACGACAUUCUGAUGGUGUAUGAACGGGACCUACAUCAUUGCCAGCUUGCCUGCACUCAGAACCCUGGGUGUGCCUACUUCAGCUACGUGGUUAAAGAAUUCCGAUGCUAUCAAAAGUACACAGAUGGUGAACCAACUACAAUAGACAUUCCAGGAGUCAUAUCUGGUUACACAAGGAAUGGGUGCAGGGAAGGCCCACCAGUAGAGAUACCAGUGUUUACAUUGGUUAGCGAGGAGAGGAGCAUGGCUGAAGCCCAGAAGUUCUGCAGGGAGUACUACGAUGAACAGGCCACCAUCUUCAAUGCUGAGGACCAGACAGCAGCUCUGAGAGCAGUGUCAGCACAGAGCCUCACUGACGCUGUCUGGGUCCACUCCCAUUACCGCGCCUUUUGGCCCCAACUGGCCUAUUGGAAUACACCAAAUGCAAAGUGUAUUGUUCAUGAACUUAAAGCAAAAGUUUGGAUUUUGAGAUAUUGCACAAUUUCAUGUCACUUUGUGUGCCAGAAAAGUAAGUUUAUUUUGCAUCCCUUCUCCCUACUACUCCAAAGUAAUGAAAACACUUUACUUGAAGGGGGGUAGUCAUUCUUAACAUCUUGGUAAAGUACAUAGUACAUUUAAAAUAAUGUCACCUUUAUGAGUUACUGUAUGCAUCCUUUGACAAUCAUCUAGGUGCAUUUAUUUAACAUCAAUGUCCAUGUCUUUUCGGGCUUUUUAAAGACAAUUGUAUUUUCUGUCCUUAGGCACACAAUUAAACUCAGAGCUAAAAUACUACAUGGGUCAAGGUUCAUUGACGUGGGAGGGGGCACAGACGGCUUGCCGAGCCAAUGGAGACAACUUAGCGAGCAUCCUCACCCAAGAGGAUUACACAGCAUUCCAAAGCAUAACAGAGACACGGCAGUUUGAUAUGUGGAUCGGACUCUACUGGAAGACUUCUACCAGAAUGUGGGAGUGGUCCAAUGGGGACCCCUUUCCAUACUGUGUGUCUGAGCCUCAACUGGGUGCUAGUAACUGCUGCUCCCUGACCCAUAAGGGCCAUUGGCAGACUGAAAACGUCACCCUGGAGAAGACAGACUGCUCUCUGAAGAGACCGUUCCUUUGCACUGGAAAAAAGAGAAUCAAGCAGACCAUUGUAAGGAUGUCUCUGAAAUCUAACACAGGAGCUGACCUCAAUGACCCAGUGGUAAAGGAACAUAUGUUGGAGCAGAUAAGAAAGGAGUUUGUGAAGAAUGGUGACUUCAUCCAAGGCCUACGCUGGAGAGAACUGCCGAAUGGAGAUGUUUUUCACAAAACAGUUGAACAUGGAAGCUCUGAUGAAGGUCAGUGUGGGUCUGGAUGAAGAGGACCAUUAAAGGCGAUGCAGAAAGAGAGGCAUGGAAGGUCCAAGGAAACCACAUUAUAUAUUAUAUACCUUAUAAUACGUAAUACAAUAUUAUUCUUGUUAAUGUUAUUCAAGUUAUGACAGUUCGAUUUGUCGUAUGAAGGUAAAAUUAUGAUGUCAAUUUACAUUAGGAAUGAUUUAGACUUUACAAUGUUUGACUAAUAUAACACCAAAUUAUAAUCUAAGAUAUUUGUAGGUGUAUGAAUGUAAUGUAAUAAUGUUUGUUGUACAUCAGGGCAAUUUGGUUAGUGAAGAGAAGCGGAAUAAAAAGGACAUUUGUGGGUUUUCAAGUCUGUUGUUAAGGACAUUUCAGUCAGGGACUUGCAUUGUAAUGAGAAAAAUUAUGUUACACACUCAAUUAUGGAUGCGACUGUUGACAUUCUUCAAUAAAAGAUGUUUGAUUAGUGACAUCAGUAUUACCAUUAUUGUCACUCUCCAGCAAGAAUG
RNA transcript from Oncorhynchus keta (chum salmon), 2215 nucleotides. It is a transcript of the gene named lymphocyte antigen 75-like, with no coding region annotated. The record is from RefSeq and is a predicted model, not a curated record. The transcript has 10 exons. NCBI's taxonomy places the organism in Eukaryota, Metazoa, Chordata, Actinopteri, Salmoniformes, Salmonidae.